RNAcentral lists this ribosomal RNA (422 nucleotides) under Bacillus pumilus. Its description in RNAcentral is "partial 23S ribosomal RNA". It matches the Rfam family "Bacterial large subunit ribosomal RNA", at positions 1 to 298 of the family's 2925-position model. The record is from RNAcentral. Lineage: Bacteria; Bacillati; Bacillota; Bacilli; Caryophanales; Bacillaceae.
CGGUUAAGUUAGAAAGGGCGCACGGUGGAUGCCUUGGCACUAGGAGCCGAUGAAGGACGGGACGAACACCGAUAUGCUUCGGGGAGCUGUAAGCAAGCUUUGAUCCGGAGAUUUCCGAAUGGGGAAACCCACUGCUCGUAAUGGAGUAGUAUCCAUACUUGAAUACAUAGAGUAUGAGAAGGCAUACCCGGGGAACUGAAACAUCUAAGUACCCGGAGGAAGAGAAAGCAAAUGCGAUUCCCUGAGUAGCGGCGACACUCGUAAUGGAGUGGUAUCCAUAUCUGAAUUCAUAGGAUAUGAGAAGGCAGACCCGGGGAACUGAAACAUCUAAGUACCCGGAGGAAGAGAAAGCAAAUGCGAUUCCCUGAGUAGCGGCGAGCGAAACGGGAACAGCCCAAACCAAGAGGCUUGCCUCUUGGGGU